RNAcentral lists this ribosomal RNA (265 nucleotides) under uncultured prokaryote. RNAcentral describes it as "partial 16S ribosomal RNA". It matches the Rfam family "Bacterial small subunit ribosomal RNA", at positions 524 to 788 of the family's 1533-position model. The record is from RNAcentral.
UACGGAGGAUCCGAGCGUUAUCCGGAUUUAUUGGGUUUAAAGGGUGCGCAGGCGGGAGAUUAAGUCGGCGGUGAAAUUUUGCAGCUCAACUGUAAAAGUGCCUUCGAAACUGGUUUCCUUGAGUGUGGAUGAAGUAGGCGGAAUUUGUGGUGUAGCGGUGAGAUGCAUAGAUAUCACGAGGAACUCCGAUUGCGCAGGCAGCUUACUAAACCAUAACUGACGCUCAGGCACGAAGGCGUGGGGAUCAAACAGGAUUAGAUACCCU